Molecule: ribosomal RNA, 2760 nt
Filed under: Scaeurgus unicirrhus
Lineage: Eukaryota; Metazoa; Mollusca; Cephalopoda; Octopoda; Octopodidae
Description: partial small subunit ribosomal RNA
Source: RNAcentral
ACCUGGUUGAUCCUGCCAGUAGUCAUAUGCUUGUCUCAAAGCUUAAGCCAUGCAAGUGUAAGUUCAUGCCGUAAACGAAUGGUGAAACCGCGAAUGGCUCAGGAACCGGACCUAAUCCUCGGGACCGUAUUCCUCUUUAACGCGAGGAGAGUGGAUAACUGUGGCAAUUCUAGAGCUAAUACAUGCAACCGAAGCCGCGAUCGCAGGUCGCACCCGGGCGUCGGGUUUGCAGAAAACGGCGUUCGGCGCCAUUCGGCGUCGCCCGUUGUUGGCGUCGUCGCUGGUUGCCGUUCGUUGCCGGCGCCCGCUCGGCCGGAACUCGGCGGGUUCGCGCUCGCCCCGGUCGCGACGAUACGGUCGGCCUUUCGCAUUGGUCGCGGCGCAAAUAUUAGACUGAGACCGACGCGUACGGGCCGYGGCGGUGUUGCGUCGGCCGUCGUCGCCGCUUCGCGCGGUGGCGCGCCUCGCUGGCCGCUGCGGCUUCCUCACGCCCUUCGAUUUUGGUGACUCUGGAUAACUGUCAGUACGAUCGCACGGGCUAGUUAUAUCGACUAGCCUUCUGUUGGCGACGGGUCCCCCGCGAGUCCGCCCUAUCAACUGUCGACGGCCCGGUAAGUGCCGACCGUGGUGGCAACGGGUAACGGGGAAUCAGGGUUCGAUUCCGGAGAGGGAGCAUGCGAAACGGCUACCACAUCCAAGGAAGGCAGCAGGCGCGCAAAUUACCCACUCCCGGCACGGGGAGGUAGUGACGAAAAAUAACGACGCGGGACUCUGUCGAGGCCCCGCGAUCGGAAUGAGUACACUUCAAAUCCGUUAACGAGGAUCGACCGGAGGGCAAGUCUGGUGCCAGCAGCCGCGGUAAUUCCAGCUCCGGUAGCGUAUAUUAAAAUUGUUGCGUUUGAAAAGCUCGUAGUCGGAAUUCGGGUCUCGAAAACGUGCCCCAGCACGUUCGGGGCGACGUGACGGCAGUCGCCGUUCGCGUCGCGUGUCGCGCUCCGCGCGCGUCCGCGUCGGCGUCGGCUUCUGUCGUCCGCUCGCACUCCCGGCCCUAUUCGCCGGUGCGUGCGCGGUCGGUCCGCUCGGCUCUGUUGGCGCGUCGCCGCCGCUGCCGUCCGUCUGCGCGCGCCGCAACGCGUYGUUGUCGGCGGCGGCGCUUGUUGGCGGCCGGUAAAACGGUCGUCUCCGGUCGUCGUCGUGGUCGGCCUCGCCUGCUGUGCGCCGCGCUUUCGGUUUAGCGCCGGUUUCUGGCGCGCCUUCAUCCGGCGGUCGCUUCGGCCCGCACGGUUCCUCCGAGGGUGCUCUUCGCCGAGUGUCCGAGGCGGCCGGUACGUUCACUGUGAAAAAAUUAGAGUGCUCAGAGCGAGCCCCGCCGGCUUGCAUAGGAAAAGCAUGGAAUGAUGGAAAAUGGCCUCGUCCGCGCGUCAUCCGUCGGUCUCCGUUCACGACGAGGCAAUGAUCGAAGGGAGCGAUCGGGGCCACUCGUAUUGCGACGUUAGAGGUGAAAUUCUUGGAUCGUCGCAAGACGCACUGCAGCGACGGCGUGUGGCAAGCACGUUUUCCUCGAUCAAGAGCGAAAGUCGGAGGUUCGAAGACGAUCAGAUACCGUCGUAGUUCCGACCGUAAACGAUGCCGACUGGCGCUCCGCCGGCGUUCGCUUCGAUGACCCGGCGGGGAGCCUGCGCGGGAAACCAUAGUCGGUUCCGGGGGGAGUAUGGUUGCAAAACAGAAACUUAAAGGAAUUGACGGAAGGGCACCACCAGGAGUGGAGCCUGCGGCUUAAUUUGACUCAACACGGGAAAACUCACCCGGUCCGGACACCGGUAGGAUUGACAGAUCGAUAGCUCUUUCUCGAUUCGGUGGGUGGUGGUGCAUGGCCGUUCUUAGUUGGUGGAGCGAUCCGUCUGGUUGAUUCCGAUAACGAACGAGACUCCGGCCUGCUAACUAGCGCGUCGAUUAGUGCUUUUCCGGUAGCGCGGCGGCGCCGAAGCCGUGAUCGGUCGCCUGUGCUGUCGUGCCGGCUUGCCGUUGCCGUUGCCGUCGCCGUCCUUCGCUUCUUCUUCGGUGUCGCGUUGCCGCGCCGCUGCGUGCGCGCGCGUGCGUGUGUGGGCCUCGUGUUCGCGCUCGCGCGUGCGUGUCGUUGCGGGGUCGGCGUCGUGGUCCGUGUCGUCGCGUGGCGGCGUGGGCGGCGGUGAUCGCGCGGGCUGGUGUGGGCGGCGCGAGCCCGGUUGCGGCACGCCGUCGCGUCCGGGCCAGUCGGUUGGCGAACGCAGCGCUUCUUAGAGGGACGGGCGGCAGAAAGCCGCACGAGGCGGAGCGAUAACAGGUCUGUGAUGCCCUUAGAUGUCCGGGGCCGCACGCGCGCUACACUGGAGGUAUCAGCGGGCGCUUUUCCCCCGGCCCGAGAGGGUCGGGAAACCUCUGAACCACCUCCCGUGAUAGGGAUCGGGGCCUGGAACGAACCCCGUGAACGAGGAAUUCCCGGUAGGCGCGGGUCAUCAGCCCGCGUCGAUCACGUCCCUGCCCUUUGUACACACCGCCCGUCGCUACUACCGAUCGAACGGUCCGGUGAGGUCCUCGGAUCUGGCCGACGAGUUGGCUUACGCGCGCGGCGGCUGCYCGCGGCGUUCCGCGCCGUGUGCUUCGUCGUCGUCUGCGCGGCGCGUUCUCUGAUGGCCCGGAGAAGACGACCGAACCCGAUCGCUUAGAGGAAGUAAAAGUCGUAACAAGGUUUCCGUAGGUGAACCUGCGGAAGGAUCAUUA